This 292-nucleotide ribosomal RNA is filed under the name uncultured bacterium. RNAcentral describes it as "partial 16S ribosomal RNA". It matches the Rfam family "Bacterial small subunit ribosomal RNA", at positions 505 to 796 of the family's 1533-position model. The record is from RNAcentral.
GUGCCAGCAGCCGCGGUAAGACGAAGGGGGCUAGCGUUGUUCGGAAUUACUGGGCGUAAAGCGCGUGUAGGCGGUUAUCCAAGUCGGGUGUGAAAGCCUUGAGCUCAACUCAAGAAAUGCACUCGGUACUGGGUGACUAGAGGACCGGAGAGGAUAGUGGAAUUCCCAGUGUAGUGGUGAAAUACGUAGAGAUUGGGAAGAACACCAGUGGCGAAGGCGGCUAUCUGGACGGUUUCUGACGCUAAGACGCGAAAGCGUGGGGAGCAAACAGGAUUAGAUACCCCCGUAGUCC